Ciona intestinalis (vase tunicate) is the source of this 65-nucleotide non-coding RNA. NCBI's taxonomy places the organism in Eukaryota, Metazoa, Chordata, Ascidiacea, Phlebobranchia, Cionidae. The record is from RefSeq.
CAGCUCAUCUGGUAUAAAAACAUACUGUAUUUCCGACAUUACUACGUUUUUAUACAAGAUUAGCC